CAGUCACAUCAUUUUGAAACACCGGUUCCCGUAUAAUCACCGAAGUUAAGCAAUGUCGAGCCUGGACAUUACGAAGAUGAGUGACAAUUUGGGAAUAUAAGGUGCUGUAA
Molecule: non-coding RNA, 110 nt
Organism: Acanthosepion pharaonis
Lineage: Eukaryota; Metazoa; Mollusca; Cephalopoda; Sepiida; Sepiidae
Source: the annotation of a GenBank genome assembly